GACCUGCGGAAGGAUCAUUAAAGAACGCCCCGUUUUUUGAAAUGGGUAAUUCCCAAACCGUGUCUAAUAUACCUUUGUUGCUUUGGCAGGCCGCCUUCUAGGCGUCGGCUCCGGCUGACUGCGCUUGCCAGAGGACCCAAACUCGUUUUGUUUAGUGUCGUCUGAGUACUAUAUAAUAGUUUAAAACUUUCAACAACGGAUCUCUUGGUUCUGGCAUCGAUGAAGAACGCAGCGAAAUGCGAUAAGUAAUGUGAAUUGCAGAAUUCAGUGAAUCAUCGAAUCUUUGAACGCACAUUGCGCCCCUUGGUAUUCCGAGGGGCAUGCCUGUUCGAGCGUCAUUAUAACCAUUCAAGUUUCGACUUGGUAUUGGGGUUCGCGGUUUCGCGGCCCUUAAAAUCAGUGGCGGUGCCAUCUGGCUCUAAGCGUAGUAAUUCUCUCGCUACAGGGUCCGGGUGGUUGCUUGCCAGAAUCCCCCACUUUUAUAGGUUGACCUCGGAUCAGGUAGGGAUACCCGCUGAACUUAAGCAUAUCAAUA
RNAcentral lists this ribosomal RNA (535 nucleotides) under Hyaloscypha sp. Y15C. RNAcentral describes it as "eukaryotic LSU rRNA". The stretch from base 185 to 338 matches the Rfam family "5.8S ribosomal RNA". The record is from RNAcentral. Lineage: Eukaryota; Fungi; Ascomycota; Leotiomycetes; Helotiales; Hyaloscyphaceae.